Podarcis lilfordi (Lilford's wall lizard) is the source of this 74-nucleotide non-coding RNA. The record is from the annotation of a GenBank genome assembly. NCBI's taxonomy places the organism in Eukaryota, Metazoa, Chordata, Lepidosauria, Squamata, Lacertidae.
CGGAAAGCUCAGUUGGUAGAGCACGAGGCUUAAUCUUAAGAGUUGUGGGUUCAAGCCCCACACUGGGUGAAAGA